Long non-coding RNA from Carassius gibelio (silver crucian carp), 1108 nucleotides. RefSeq lists it as uncharacterized. The transcript is spliced from 5 exons. Lineage: Eukaryota; Metazoa; Chordata; Actinopteri; Cypriniformes; Cyprinidae. The record is from RefSeq and is a predicted model, not a curated record.
AUUUUUAGCUGAAAAGACGUAAAGGCAGUCAGCCCAGUGGUGUUUCUGGAGAGGGAUUCCUUCAGAAAUGGAGAAGACAGAAAGCUGCGGAGGCAGAUAUUUGCAGCAGUCUAAAAUAUCGAGCUCAACAGCUAUUUUAAGAGCCAACCCUCACAAACCUUCCUAAAACCUAAAAGAGCUAUUACUGAGUCUCAGCGAAUCUUGCCAUGAUCAGCUCUUCCCAGAAGAGAAGGAAGACCAAGGAAAUUAUUUGCUCAGGAUGAGAAAUGAAGACGGCCAUCUUGUGCUCAAACAAACAGAAGUCCUUUGAUGAUCUCAUCAGCCAAAUGAGGGGUUUUGACCAAGUGAUGCUCUUGAAAGGAGAGAAAGAAGAGGAUGUGGUAAAUUCUCUUCAGAGAAAAAGCUUCUCAAAAGGUCUUAAAGCAGCUUGAAGAAUGGUCUGGGAUGUUAGGACUGAGAGAUCCUCUGGCUGAGAACAAGCUACACCUCAUCAGUGCUGGACAUCAACCACAAACUGUUUCCAGACACGAGAGAAGAAGAACACGAUGGGGAGAUGAAACCAGUUUAGAUGUGAUGAUAAGGAAUCAUUAUUUUCUGGAACAGUAUCACAUGUCUUAUAUGUAUCACAUGAUCUGUAUCACAGUUGACUGGAUGGGACUGUGUGACUUUUAAGGACAUUUCAUCACUCAUCCGUGGGAACUGAUUUAUAUAUGAGGUUAAUGUAUUUUUGAUGAUAAUUAUUUUCAUUGAAUCUUAUUUGUCUUGAUGCUACUUUAUCAACUUUAUAGUCUAUGCUUCAAUAAAAUGAAAAUGGUGAAUAUUGUGUUCUGAAGAUUCUUGGUAAAUACAUCAUUUUACUAGGUAGGCUCAUAUGUGUUUAUUUUAGACUUGGAAAAACGACAUAUUAAUUAUUGGGAUUAUUUUUUUAUUUAAGACAUGAACAUUUUUGAUCGGAUUAAUAACAUCUGGGACAUCAGUACACCAGAAAGUAUUUUUUUAUAUUUUAGUAACAAAUAUGCACAUUUUUUUGUGAAAUACAGGGAGUUACAAGAUUAAUUAUUCUGCAUUACAAGAUGGUGCCAUGGGCUUUAUUGUUACAAACACUUAA